Molecule: ribosomal RNA, 427 nt
Filed under: uncultured bacterium
Lineage: Bacteria
Description: bacterial SSU rRNA
Rfam family: Bacterial small subunit ribosomal RNA
Source: RNAcentral
UCGAGAAUUUUUCUCAAUGGGGGAAACCCUGAAGGAGCGACGCCGCGUGGAGGAUGAAGGCUUUCGGGUUGUAAACUCCUGUCAUUUGAGAACAAGUGUAGCGAAGUAACUACUCGCUACUUGAUAGUAUCAGAAGAGGAAGAGACGGCUAACUCUGUGCCAGCAGCCGCGGUAAUACAGAGGUCUCAAGCGUUGUUCGGAUUCAUUGGGCGUAAAGGGUGCGUAGGUGGCGGGGUAAGUCAGGUGUGAAAUUUCGGAGCUUAACUCCGAAACUGCAUUUGAUACUGCCUUGCUUGAGGACUGGAGAGGAGACUGGAAUUCACGGUGUAGCAGUGAAAUGCGUAGAGAUCGUGAGGAAGACCAGUGGCGAAGGCGGGUCUCUGGACAGUUCCUGACACUGAGGCACGAAGGCCAGGGGAGCAAACGG